AUUGAACGCUGGCGGUAUGCUUAACUCAUGCAAGUCGAACGGUAACAGCAAAGCUUGCUUUGGCUGACGAGUGGCGGACGGGUGAGUAACGCGUGGGAAUCUACCUAGUAGUGGGGGAUAGCCAGGAGAAAUCCUGAUUAAUACCGCAUACGCCCUACGGGGGAAAGAGGCCCUCUUCUUGAAAGGUCUCACUAUUAGAUGAGCCCGCGUUAGAUUAGCUAGAUGGUGAGGUAAGAGCACACCAUGGCAACGAUCUAUAACUGGUCUGAGAGGAUGACCAGUCACAUUGGGACUGAGACACGGCCCAG
This 308-nucleotide ribosomal RNA is filed under the name uncultured bacterium. RNAcentral's name for it is "bacterial SSU rRNA". It matches the Rfam family "Bacterial small subunit ribosomal RNA", at positions 30 to 334 of the family's 1533-position model. The record is from RNAcentral.